UUAACUAUUAUAUAGUACUCAGACAUUAUAGACAAACAGAGUUUAGGUCCUCUGGCAGGCGCUCGCCGGCCGGAGCCGGCAGCCCGAGGGCAGGCCUGCCAAAGCAACAAAGGUGUAAUAAACAAAGGGUGGUAUAGAAGACCCCAGCCCAGAGGGCCAGGGGACUAUAACUUUAAUGAUCCUUCCGCAGGUUCACCUACGGAAA
This 205-nucleotide unclassified non-coding RNA is filed under the name uncultured fungus. RNAcentral's name for it is "sequence contains ITS1, 5.8S rRNA gene". Lineage: Eukaryota; Fungi. The record is from RNAcentral.